GAGGGUAUAGCUCAGUGGUGGAGCACAUGCUUAGUUAGCAUGCACGAGGUUCUGGGUUCAAUCCCCCAUACCUCCA
Molecule: transfer RNA, 76 nt
Organism: Camelus ferus (Wild Bactrian camel)
Lineage: Eukaryota; Metazoa; Chordata; Mammalia; Artiodactyla; Camelidae
Rfam family: tRNA
About the family: Transfer RNA (tRNA) molecules are approximately 80 nucleotides in length. Their secondary structure includes four short double-helical elements and three loops (D, anti-codon, and T loops).
Source: Rfam